Molecule: ribosomal RNA, 190 nt
Filed under: uncultured bacterium
Lineage: Bacteria
Description: partial 16S ribosomal RNA
Rfam family: Bacterial small subunit ribosomal RNA
Source: RNAcentral
CCUACGGGAGGCAGCAGUAAGGAAUAUUGGUCAAUGGACGAAAGUCUGAACCAGCCAUGCCGCGUGAAGGAUUAAGGUCCUCCGGAUUGUAAACUUCUUUUGUAUGGGACGAAAAAAGGUCUUUCUAGAUCACUUGACGGUACCAUAUGAAUAAGCACCGGCUAACUCCGUGCCAGCAGCCGCGGUAAUA